Molecule: unclassified non-coding RNA, 459 nt
Filed under: Hevea brasiliensis (rubber tree)
Lineage: Eukaryota; Viridiplantae; Streptophyta; Magnoliopsida; Malpighiales; Euphorbiaceae
Source: RNAcentral
AGAUAAUCAAAAUCUAGAAGUAUGAAGUCAAGAAGAGAGAAAAAAGGCUAGUGGGUUAUGUCAAUUAUUACACCAUUGUCACAUAAUUAAAUUUUGUGAAUUUCACCCAUGAAGGGUUGGCCAAGUGGCAAAGCGCACUUUUUCCCCACACUUGAACGCAGGUUUGGGUAGUGAAGCCGCCAUUCAUUGGAAGGGGUUUAACAUAAUCGCACCCUAGCCCAAAAGGAUUAAUCUUCCAUCUAACCGUAAAAUGGGGGGUGUGGGGGAAUACCCUGGAUAUUUCCAAAAAAAAAAAUUGUGAAUUUCUGUAGCCAAGUGAAUUUCAGUUAAUAUACAUCAUUCUUAAAAAAUUUGAGAACUAAUACAUUAAAGAGUGUUCUGACUAGCCUAUGUGCAUAUUUCAUUUUGGUUUUCACUACAUUUGUCAAGUCAGUUGAACAAGGUGCAAAGAAUUAUUUU